This 1511-nucleotide ribosomal RNA is filed under the name Serratia plymuthica. RNAcentral describes it as "bacterial SSU rRNA". It matches the Rfam family "Bacterial small subunit ribosomal RNA". The record is from RNAcentral. Lineage: Bacteria; Pseudomonadati; Pseudomonadota; Gammaproteobacteria; Enterobacterales; Yersiniaceae.
AGAGUUAUUAUCCUGGCUCAGAUUGAACGCUGGCGGGAGGCCUAACACAUGCAAGUCGGGGGGUGAGCACAGGAGAGCUUUCUCUCCGGGUGACGAGCGGCGGAGCGGGUGAGUAAUGUCUGGGAAACUGCCUGUUGGAGGGGGAUAACUUCUGGAAACGGUAGUUUAUACCGCCUAACUUUCUCCGGCCCAAAGUGGGGGACCUUUGGGCCUCACGCCUUCAGAUGUGCCCCAGAUGGGAUUAGUUUGUAGUGUGGGGUAAUGGUCUCACCUAGGGGACGAUCCCUAGCUUGUUUGAGAGGAUGACCAGCCCCCCUGGAACUGAGACACGGUCCAGAUUCCUACGGGAGGCAGCAGUGGGGAAUAUUGCACAAUGGGCGCAAGCCUGAUGCAGCCAUGCCGCGGUGUGUGAAGAAGGCCUUAGGGUUGUAAAGCACUUUCAGCGAGGAGGAAGGGUAGUGUGUUAAUAGCACAUUGCAUUGACGUUACUCGCAGAAGAAGCACCGGCUAAUUCCGUGCCAGCAGCCGCGGUAAUACGGAGGGUGCAAGCGUUAAUCGGAAUUACUGGGCGUAAAGCGCACGCAGGCGGUUUGUUAAGUCAGAUGUGAAAUCCCCGCGCUUAACGUGGGAACUGCAUUUGAAACCGGCAAGCUAGAGUCUUGUAGAGGGGGGUAGAAUUCCAGGUGUAGCGGUGAAAUGCGUAGAGAUCUGGAGGAAUACCGGUGGCGAAGGCGGCCCCCUGGACAAAGACUGACGCUCAGGUGCGAAAGCGUGGGGAGCAAACAGGAUUAGAUACCCUGGUAGUCCACGCUGUAGACGAUGUCGAUUUGGAGGUUGUGCCCUUGAGGCGUGGCUUCCGGAGCUAACGCGUUAAAUCGACCGCCUGGGGAGUACGGCUGCAGGGUUAAUACUCAAAUGAAUUGACGGGGGCCCGCACAAGCGGUGGAGCAUGUGGUUUAAUUCGAUGCAACGCGAAGAACCUUACCUACUCUUGACAUCCAGAGAAUUCGCUAGAGAUAGCUUAGUGCCUUCGGGAACUCUGAGACAGGUGCUGCAUGGCUGUCGUCAGCUCGUGUUGUGAAAUGUUGGGCUAAGUCCCGCAACGAGCGCAACCCUUAUCCUUUGUUGCCAGCGAUUCGGUCGGGAACUCAAAGGAGACUGCCGGUGAUAAACCGGAGGAAGGUGGGGAUGACGUCAAGUCAUCAUGGCCCUUACGAGUAGGGCUACACACGUGCUACAAUGGCGUAUACAAAGAGAAGCGAACUCGCGAGAGCAAGCGGACCUCAUAAAGUACGUCGUAGUCCGGAUUGGAGUCUGCAACUCGACUCCAUGAAGUCGGAAUCGCUAGUAAUCGUAGAUCAGAAUGCUACGGUGAAUACGUUCCCGGGCCUUGUACACACCGCCCGUCACACCAUGGGAGUGGGUUGCAAAAGAAGUAGGUAGCUUAACCUUCGGGAGGGCGCUUACCACUUUGUGAUUCAUGACUGGGGUGAAGUCGUAACAAGGUAACC